UCUAGUUGUGACUCAUUGUUAAGUAAUCCCUCAUAAUUAUUGCAUUUCCCCAUAAUUAUUGAAUUUAUAUUUUAGGUAGGAACGUGAUUUCUAAAAAUAUCAACUCCCACCAACACCAGGAAGGUGCUCAGUUACUAAAAUGCAUAAUUGUCUGGUACGGAGAUCGAACAGUGUAACGGGUGCAAAUCCAUAUAACGAAUUACGCUGGUUAUCUCGAGCAGAGCUGAUCACUGGUUUGAGAAGUUUCAAUGACGUGUAUUCGGAAGCGUGUCAGUCAUUCAAUGAAAAAUGAUGACUCUAAACUAAAAAAAACUCUAAAAAGUCCAGCUCUAAACUUGUUGAUAGUAAUUUAUUAUAAAGUAAUCGUUCCUAAAUAAUACGCGUUUUUUCAGGUGUGAUUCAACAUUGCAGAACGUCUAUCAGGCUGCACCUGCACUGGCGAUUUGUUGAGUCGAUCAUUGCAUAGAUGAGUUCCAUACCUGCAUCAAUCGCCACAUUACAAAAGACUUAUGCAACAACCCGUAGUCGAAUUAAAAGUCCUUUGUAAAGAACUCUAUACGCCGAUCAAAGUAAUCUAGCAUUCCCAGAGUUGGAGGUGGAGUCUGGUUUAGUUGUUUCUGCAUGGAAUUUGCCGGAGUCGCAAGUCUGGAAUCUGAACUCCAGCGAAAUUUUUAAUUUAUUCUAAUCGCUAUUUUUUACCAAAUACGUUUUUAUUUAUUAGCUUUUUUAUUGAUUUCAAGUUUUCUCCCGGGGUCGUAUAGCGUCAAAUCUUCAAAAUGCUUAAUUUUCUGAAAUUAUUUCUAUUUUUAUCUUGUCAGACAAGUCGUAUAGACUAUAGAAUAUGUGUUACCGCAGAGCAGGAGGCUUCCUAAAUUGUUCAGUUUGGUUUCGGUGGAUUGAAUAGGUAUAAAUCGCCACUCUAGGGAUAAAUCGGAGAGGUGUGCAUGAAAAAUUGUUUUUUCUUAUCUAUUUCUGCUAUGAUGUAGUUCUUGUGCUAAUAUUUUGCAAUUUGCUAAUAAAUUUGAAAAAUUA
Styela clava is the source of this 1032-nucleotide non-coding RNA. The record is from RefSeq and is a predicted model, not a curated record. Lineage: Eukaryota; Metazoa; Chordata; Ascidiacea; Stolidobranchia; Styelidae.